GAUGAAGAACGCAGCGAACUGCGAUAAGUAAUGUGAAUUGCAGAAUUCAGUGAAUCAUCGAGUCUUUGAACGCACAUUGCGCCCCCUGGCAUUCCGGGGGGCAUGCCUGUCCGAGCGUCAUUGCUGCCCUUCAAGCCCGGCUUGUGGGUUGGGUCGUCGUCCCCCCCGGGGGACGGGCCCGAAAGGCAGCGGCGGCACCGCGUCCGGUCCUCGAGCGUAUGGGGCUUUGUCACCCGCUCGAUUAGGGCCGGCCGGGCGCCAGCCGGCGUCUCCAACCUUCUAUUUUACCAGGUUGACCUCGGAUCAGGUAGGGAUACCCGCUGAACUUAAGCAUAUCAAUAAGCGGAGGA
RNAcentral lists this unclassified non-coding RNA (350 nucleotides) under soil metagenome. RNAcentral's name for it is "partial contains 5.8S ribosomal RNA, internal transcribed spacer 2, and large subunit ribosomal RNA". The stretch from base 1 to 120 matches the Rfam family "5.8S ribosomal RNA", at positions 35 to 154 of the family's 154-position model. The record is from RNAcentral.